AGUGAACGCUGGCGGUAGGCCUAACACAUGCAAGUCGAACGGCAGCACAGUAAGAGCUUGCUCUUACGGGUGGCGAGUGGCGGACGGGUGAGGAAUACAUCGGAAUCUACUUUUUCGUGGGGGAUAACGUAGGGAAACCUACGCUAAUACCGCAUACGACCUACGGGUGAAAGCAGUGGAUCUUCGCACCUUGCGCGAUUGAAUGAGCCGAUGUCGGACUAGCUAGUUGGCGGGGUAAAGGCCCACCAAGGCGCCGAUCGGUAGCUGGUCUGAGUGGAUGGUCGGCCGCAUGGGAGCGUGGACACGGUCCAGACUCCUGCGGGAGGCAGCAGAGGGGAAUAUUGGACAAUGGGCGCAAACCUGAUCCAGCCAUACCGCGUGGGUGAAGAAGGCCUUCGGGUUGUAAAGCCCGUUUGUUGGGAAAGAAAAGCAGCAGGUUAAUACCCCGCGGUUCUGACGGUACCCAAAGAAGAAGCACCGGCUAACUUCGUG
RNAcentral lists this ribosomal RNA (492 nucleotides) under uncultured bacterium. RNAcentral describes it as "partial 16S ribosomal RNA". It matches the Rfam family "Bacterial small subunit ribosomal RNA", at positions 29 to 507 of the family's 1533-position model. The record is from RNAcentral.